AGGGCAGAAUUGAGUAGGGUGCCUAUUAGGCGCCCACAGAGCUGAACUUUUCAAAGACUUCUAUAUUUUACUCCCUUCAUAAACAUCAGAAACUGACAACAGCAGGAUGAAGAAGCAGUGGAAAUGGCUAUGGCCCAUCCUGGUGGCUGCGAUUUUGGUUGCGUCACAAGAUGCCCCAACGAUCACCCCAACCAAAGUUCCUUCUACGACAAAGAUGAUCACCCCAACCAAAGUUCCUUCUACCCCAAAGGUGCCCACUGCAAAGGGAACGACCACCGCAAAGUACAAUGCAACACCAUCACACGUUAAUUCCACCACAUCACAUGGCAAUCUUCCUGUUGCUAGCAUCCCGUUUCUCUUCACUCUUUUAACUUGGUGGGGUGGGGGGUUUCUGUCUGUGAAUAUCAUCUUUCAAACAGCCUAAUUCAUCUGAGCAUUUUACAUUUUAAAAAUCAGGGUAAUUUAGUCUCAUUCAAUUCAGUGACUCUUUACGACCAUCACUGUAUCUUCUAAUAAGGACACCUUCUGCUACCAAAUCCAAAGCUACAACCACUCACUUCCCAUUCAUUAUCCCUUCGCCUCGUCUCGAGAAGGCAAAGGAAGACAAGCAACUGCUCUUGCUGUUCACGACACACGAGUCACAAUAUUCGCUUCUGAUCUGGGACCACAGGCCGAACGGAGUGUCAAUAAUAAUGGCAGACUCGUAAAGCAUUUAAAGAAGUUUAAGGCCUUGGGUAGAAAAAUGAACAUGGAAACUGAGUGCACAACAUCUGGACAAGAGAAACAAAUUUAAAAAGCCAUUAAAAAUGGCAGGAGAAUCAGACACGGGCAGAUUCCUCCAGAAAGACAACCGAAGGACGAGACCAGAACACACUGUGCUCCAUGCUUUGUCUUACAAUGAAUGUUACUUUAUUAUAAAUUGUUGGAGGCCUUAAUAAAUAAGAUAGUCACAACAACC
This is a long non-coding RNA of Pogona vitticeps (central bearded dragon), 958 nucleotides long. RefSeq lists it as uncharacterized. The record is from RefSeq and is a predicted model, not a curated record. Lineage: Eukaryota; Metazoa; Chordata; Lepidosauria; Squamata; Agamidae.